RNAcentral lists this ribosomal RNA (765 nucleotides) under Aquipseudomonas alcaligenes. Its description in RNAcentral is "bacterial SSU rRNA". It matches the Rfam family "Bacterial small subunit ribosomal RNA", at positions 1 to 765 of the family's 1533-position model. Lineage: Bacteria; Pseudomonadati; Pseudomonadota; Gammaproteobacteria; Pseudomonadales; Pseudomonadaceae. The record is from RNAcentral.
UUUAGAGUUUGGAAUCUGGCUCAGAUUGAACGCUGGCGGCAGGCCUAACACAUGCAAGUCGAGCGGAUGAAGGGAGCUUGCUCCUGGAUUCAGCGGCGGACGGGUGAGUAAUGCCUAGGAAUCUGCCUGGUAGUGGGGGAUAACGUCCGGAAACGGGCGCUAAUACCGCAUACGUCCUGAGGGAGAAAGUGGGGGAUCUUCGGACCUCACGCUAUCAGAUGAGCCUAGGUCGGAUUAGCUAGUUGGUGGGGUAAAGGCCUACCAAGGCGACGAUCCGUAACUGGUCUGAGAGGAUGAUCAGUCACACUGGAACUGAGACACGGUCCAGACUCCUACGGGAGGCAGCAGUGGGGAAUAUUGGACAAUGGGCGAAAGCCUGAUCCAGCCAUGCCGCGUGUGUGAAGAAGGUCUUCGGAUUGUAAAGCACUUUAAGUUGGGAGGAAGGGCAGUAAGUUAAUACCUUGCUGUUUUGACGUUACCAACAGAAUAAGCACCGGCUAACUUCGUGCCAGCAGCCGCGGUAAUACGAAGGGUGCAAGCGUUAAUCGGAAUUACUGGGCGUAAAGCGCGCGUAGGUGGUUCAGCAAGUUGGAUGUGAAAUCCCCGGGCUCAACCUGGGAACUGCAUCCAAAACUACUGAGCUAGAGUACGGUAGAGGGUGGUGGAAUUUCCUGUGUAGCGGUGAAAUGCGUAGAUAUAGGAAGGAACACCAGUGGCGAAGGCGACCACCUGGACUGAUACUGACACUGAGGGCGAAAAAGGGCU